UUUUUUUAGUGGUGUCCUGUGGUGUGCAAAAGCUUUUGAGUUUAAUUAGUACUCAUUGGUUUAUUUUUGUUUUUAUUGUCAUUAUUCUAGGAGGUGAAUCAAACAAGAUGUAGUGAUUUAUGUCAAAGAGAUCUCUGCCUCUGUUUUCCUCUAGGAGUUUUAUAGAGUCUGGCCUUAAAUGUAUGUGUUUAAUACAUUUUGAGUUUAUUUUUGUAUAUGGUGCUAGAGAAUACUCUAAUUGCUCCCUGACUGUUGAGCAGGAGAAUAUGUACUUCUGGUGGUCUCUCUCCUGACCUGGCUGCAGUUCAACAUUAGGGAGCAAUUACAGCAUUCUAUAUCACCAUAUACAGAAAUAAAAGGUAUUAAACACAUACAUUUAAGGCAAGAUGCUAUAAAACGCCUAGAGGAAAACAUAGGUGGACUUCUCUUUGAAUAAAUCAAAACAUCUUGGUUUUUUGUUGUUUUUUUUCUUAACAAUAUUUAUUCUUUUUUUAUUACUCAAAUGAAUUUAUGACAUCUGUAGUUAUAUAAUGAUCAUAACAAUCCAAUUUUAUAAGACUGCCAUCCCAUAACACAAGAACAUCCCUUCACUCCCCAAACUGUCUCCUUUGGAGACAAUAGGUUUUUUCAAUGUCUGUGAGUCAGCAUCUGUUCUGCAAAGAAGUUCAGUUUGUCCUUUUUUCAAGUUCCACAUGUCAGUGAAAGCAUUUGAUGUUGGUUCUCAUUGUAUGGCUGAUUUUGCUUAGCAUGAUAAUUUCUAGGUCCAUCCAUGUUGCUACACAUGCUGGUAUUUCAUUCAUUUAAUGGCUGGGUCAUAUUCCAUUGUGCAUAUGUACCACAUCUUCUCAAUCCACUCCUCUGUCGAUGGACAUUUAGGUUGUUUCCAUGUCUUGGCUAUUGGAAAUAGUACUGCAAUGAACAUCGGAGUACAUGUGUUUUUCCGAGUCAUGGCUUUCUCUGGAUAGAUGCCCAAGAGUGGGAUUGCUGGAUCAAAUGAUAGUUCUAUGUUUAGUUUUCUGAGGAAUCUCCAUACUGCUUCCCACAGUGGUCACACAAAUUUACAAUCCCCCCUACUGUGUACUAGGGUUCCAUUUGUUCCACAUCCUCUCCAGCACAUUGUUUGUGGCCUUUUUGAUGAUGGCCAUUCUGGCUGGUGUAAGCUGGUACCUCAUCAUGGUUUUGAUUUGCAUUUCUCUUGUAAUGAGUGAUGUUGAACAUCUUUUCAUGUUUUUUGGCCAUCUGUAUGUCUUCUUUGGAGAACUGUCUGUUUAGAACUUCUGCCCAUUUUGCAUGAGGUUGUUUGUUUUUUUGGUAUGCAGCUGAAGAAGGUGUUUAUAAAUUUUGGAGAUGAAUCCCUUGUCAGUUGAAUCACUUGCAAAGAUUUUCUCACAUUCUGUGGGUUGUCUUUUCAUUUUGUUUAGGGU
RNAcentral lists this long non-coding RNA (1424 nucleotides) under Sus scrofa (pig). Its description in RNAcentral is "lncRNA (ENSSSCG00055014663.1)". The record is from RNAcentral. Lineage: Eukaryota; Metazoa; Chordata; Mammalia; Artiodactyla; Suidae.